UGGAGAGCACUGGAGACUGACCUUCUUUAUCUAGUCACAGAGCAGGCAUGGAAUGAAAAGCAACAGUGCAAGAUUUCCCCACAUUGCUCUGCCUUUGUACCUCAACCCUGACCCAAAGGGGCCAUCAAUAUGGAUAAGAGGGUAGUUCAGUCUUCAGGGUUCCUUUCAGUGUUAGAACUGCU
This 182-nucleotide small RNA is filed under the name Chrysemys picta bellii (western painted turtle). RNAcentral's name for it is "TUC338 (ENSCPBG00000027516.1)". The record is from RNAcentral. Lineage: Eukaryota; Metazoa; Chordata; Testudines; Emydidae.